UGCAGGUUGGCUCAGUUGGUUAGAGCAUGGUGCUGAUAACGCCAAGGUCACGGGUUGAGCCUUGAAUGGGUACAUUUCCCUGCAUUGCAG
Podarcis lilfordi (Lilford's wall lizard) is the source of this 90-nucleotide non-coding RNA. NCBI's taxonomy places the organism in Eukaryota, Metazoa, Chordata, Lepidosauria, Squamata, Lacertidae. The record is from the annotation of a GenBank genome assembly.